GCGAGUAUGGCCCUCACGGGUCUAAUCCACCAUAAACACCUUUGUGAACCAGUCAGGGGGACUCGGCCGCGAAAGCCCAGGCGAUUAGCGGAAGGGCCCUCCUUUGCAAACCCGUUUUAGAAGUCUUGAAAGUACUUUUGUAUAAUCUAGUA
Molecule: unclassified non-coding RNA, 152 nt
Filed under: soil metagenome
Description: partial internal transcribed spacer 1
Source: RNAcentral